Molecule: long non-coding RNA, 199 nt
Filed under: Elaeis guineensis (African oil palm)
Lineage: Eukaryota; Viridiplantae; Streptophyta; Magnoliopsida; Arecales; Arecaceae
Description: long non-coding RNA (EGUI_LNC039622)
Source: RNAcentral
AGAGGAAGUGAUAUAAAUAUUAUCAAUACUGAUAAUAUGUCUUUUACCAUUAUCACCAAAGGUCACCACCCCUCCUCCCUUUGCCUCAAGGAUGAUAAAUCAUGCCCUAUCAUCCAUCAUGUGUCUUGAGCAGCCACUAUUAAGAUACUAUCUUUCUUUUUUUUUGGUUGCAAAAUGUACCUAUAAAGAAAAAUCAAAU